RNAcentral lists this ribosomal RNA (1218 nucleotides) under Glossotermes oculatus. RNAcentral's name for it is "16S ribosomal RNA". The stretch from base 775 to 1148 matches the Rfam family "Bacterial large subunit ribosomal RNA", at positions 2073 to 2647 of the family's 2925-position model. The record is from RNAcentral. Lineage: Eukaryota; Metazoa; Arthropoda; Insecta; Blattodea; Rhinotermitidae.
AUAGCUUACUUGUACUGUGGUGGGCUUUAACUUUAACCUUUUGGAAGCUGGCUCUCUUGUUGUACCUUGUGUAUCAGGGUUUACUAAAUUUUAUCAUUUAUUUUUAUUUCCCGAUCUUGAGGGAGCUAGUGUGUUAUCUUAUUUAUUGUUGCAUUAAUAAUUUGUAAUAUCUUGUUGGCAGUGAAAUGUUAUUCGUCUUUAAUGGUUUCUGGUUUUCCAAGAAAUGAAUUCAAUUCAGGUAUCUUAUUUAGUUCUUUACUUUUUUCGGUUUGGGGUUUAUUUUAUGCUAAUAUUAGGGGGGAUUAGCUCCUUUUUAUAAAGCAAUAUUUUUUUAUUCUGUGCAAUUUUGUGGAUUUCAUGGUGAUUCUCUAUUUGAUUAUGUUAAAGUUUUAUUGCUUGUUGUCUGUUUUUUCUAGUUGAUUUGAUAUUUAUUGGAAUGUUAUUUUUAAUGGUUUAUGGUUUGUAAUUAUUGUAGGAUUAGUAUAUUUUUUGUUUGGUGUCUGUUUGGUUAAUUUUAAUUUUCUUUUGAGGAAUUAGGCAAAGUUUUUAUGCCCGCCUGUUUAACAAAAACAUCUCUUCUUGUCAGUUUUUGAAGUAUGACCUGCCCCCUGAUGAUUGUUAUGAUUUAAAGGGCCGCGGUAUACUGACCGUGCAAAGGUAGCAUAAUCAUUAGUUCUUUAAUUGUGAUCUGGUAUGAACGGUUUGACGAGGUAUAGUCUGUCUUAAAUGGAUCUUUUUGGAAUUUGGUUUCUUAGUUAGAAUUCUUAGAUGGUUUUGUGGGACGAGAAGACCCUAUAGAGUUUUACAUUUUACUUUCUUUGCGUGUUUGGGGCUUAUUUAGCGAAGGGUUUAUAUUUGUUUUGUUGGGGCGAUGGGAGGGAUUUGGUUAACCCCUCCUUUAUUUAUGGUUACACUUAUUUUUGGUUUUUUGAUCCUUUUUUUGAGAUUGUAAGAUUAAACUACCUUAGGGAUAACAGCGUUAUUCUCCCUGAGAGUUCUUAUCGACGGGGGAGAUUGCGACCUCGAUGUUGGAUUAAGGUUUAUUUUUGGUGUAGAAGCUGGAAAGGGUUAUUGGGUCUGUUCGACCCUUAAAAUCUUACAUGAUCUGAGUUCAAACCGGCGUGAGCCAGGUUGGUUUCUAUCUACAAUGAGAUUUAUGUCUUAGUACGAGAGGACCAGGCAUUUGGAAUAAUUCCAUUUUAAUUGAUUUUUAUUAAU